Molecule: non-coding RNA, 1189 nt
Organism: Ceratina calcarata
Lineage: Eukaryota; Metazoa; Arthropoda; Insecta; Hymenoptera; Apidae
Source: RefSeq, a predicted model, not a curated record
AUGAUAGUGAUUGUAACAAUCGUGACGAUGGUUCACCUACGCUUUGUACGGAGAAAAGCAUUUUUCAAGAACUUUCGUUUUUCAUGCUAACACGUGUAUUAGCAUUUGGAUGUAUUAUCAUUUAUAUAAAACUUCCUUCGACCGAAACUAACGAACAUUGGAGACAAGUAAAUUCCAAAAAAAGAAAGAAAGAACAAGUCUAUAAACAACAUAGAUUAUUCAUUUCUCUAGCAUCGUGCUAAUAUUUUGAUAAGGUGACAGACUUUCCGGAUGGCAAUGAAACUCAUGCGUUCAGCGAUAGUACCUCGUUGAAAAUGUUGGAGGACAUCACAGCGAAAGUUUGGAGGACCUUGCCUGUGAUUAGUGUGCCUCAAAACUGGGCUCUCAAAUACUGCAUGAAAUAUACUGAGAUUUCAGAAAACGUGGAAAAAGCAGCUAUACCGUGUCAAUACGAUGGUACAGACUGGAAUUGCGUCUUUAUUGAAUUGGGUGGUGGAAGAGACGAUUUCAAUAUGGGCAAAAUCGUCUCUUCGUUUAACGACGUCUCUAAUCGCGGGUUGAGAUUGAAACUACUUCGCGCAGCCGAAAUUUGCGGCAAACUCUGGCAGAGAUACAAACAGAUCCAAAAUAAGAGAUUGACUCGCAUGAGAUUAAACGUUCACGUGAGUCGCUUUACAAAUUCGUAAAAACGGACGGUUGCUUUGUUCAAUGUCCGUUUCGACCCAAGGUAAAGAGCAGAAAAAAGAGGUACUCGAAGAAGAACGGGAAUUCACAAGGUUCCAAGAAAAAGCGAGUAAAUAAGAAGGAUGAAGAGGAACGUGACGAGGAGAUUAAGAAACGGAGGCGGGCUGCUAAGAGAAUGAAAGAUAUUCGACAGAAAUUAACAAAUAAGAUUACACAACUGGAAAAUAAAGAGUUUUUAAGCCCGGAGGAAGAAACCAGACUCGGACGAUUGCGCUUAACAAAUUCCAAACCGCGUUUAGAUUUAGAGGAGUAUUCUUUGACUCAGGAACGUGCAGAAUUAUCUCGUCUGCAGGAGACCGGUUUGUGUUUAUCGCAACAAGUUGCAAAAGCUUGUGAAACAAUCGUCCUCGACGCGGUGCGGACACUAAUAUAAUAUAAAAUUGUUAUUAUGCAGCAUGUUACACAAUUCUAAUAAAGUUUAAUUAUCUGCAAUAUUGCUGCGUUU